AAACCAGCACCUCAAGUGGUCAGGAUGAUUAUUGGGCCUAAAGCAUCCGUAGCCGGCUCUGUAAGUUUUCGGUCAAAUCUGUACGCUCAACGUACAGGCUGCCGGGAAUACUGCAGAGCUAGGGAGUGGGAGAGGUAGACGGUACUCGGGAGGAAGGGGUAAAAUCCUUUGAUCUCUCGAUGACCACCUGUGGCGAAGGCGGUCUACCAGAACACGUCCGACGGUGAGGGAUGAAAGCUGGGGGAGCAAACCGGAUUAGAAACCCCAGUAGUCC
This 274-nucleotide ribosomal RNA is filed under the name uncultured bacterium. RNAcentral's name for it is "partial 16S ribosomal RNA". It matches the Rfam family "Archaeal small subunit ribosomal RNA", at positions 473 to 747 of the family's 1478-position model. The record is from RNAcentral.